CGACUCUGGUUUCUCUUCAUUACGCACAAGCCUUUCGCCUUUUACUAAAGACUUCCGUGGAGAGGAACAUGUACGAGUUCAAUGUAUUUUUGGAGGGGCUUUGCUUCUGGCAGAGCC
Molecule: non-coding RNA, 117 nt
Organism: Salmo salar (Atlantic salmon)
Lineage: Eukaryota; Metazoa; Chordata; Actinopteri; Salmoniformes; Salmonidae
Source: Rfam